AUGCAUGCAUGCGCUUUAACCAAUUACUUACUCCCAGGGGACGUCGCCGACGAGCAUCCAGUCGCCGUCCUUGUCCUCGUAGGUGGGCACAUAGUCGGAGCCGUUGAGCAGGUCCACCAGCUUGCUCUCGUUCAUGCCCGUCAUCCCCUGAGCCUGCGAGCAGUCGUUGCCGAUGGUGAAGGAGCUGAACAUCUUCUCCAGGGCCUUGGACAGCUCCUGGUAGCUCUUGUAGGUGCCCAUGUCCACCUUGCGCAGGUAGGGCGCGCCGUCCAUGCUCACCUUCACCAGCGCCGCCCCCCCUCUCUCCGCCGUCGCCGCCAGCAUGUUCCUCCGGAACGACCGCACCGGCGGCCACCCCACCGCCUGCGCCCUGCUCCGCCAAACAUCAAUCAGUCAAUUCAUAAUUGUUCACAUGGAUGA
RNAcentral lists this ribosomal RNA (420 nucleotides) under Triticum aestivum (bread wheat). Its description in RNAcentral is "partial small subunit ribosomal RNA". The record is from RNAcentral. Lineage: Eukaryota; Viridiplantae; Streptophyta; Magnoliopsida; Poales; Poaceae.